UGACCCUUUUAAGCCGAGGGUCACCUAGCCAACUGACGUUGUUAGUGAACCAAAUUGUUCAUAUUGACAGCCAAUCACAAUUCUUGUGGUUGGCUUUUUUUAU
This 103-nucleotide small RNA is filed under the name Vibrio mangrovi. RNAcentral's name for it is "Qrr". It matches the Rfam family "Qrr RNA". Rfam says of the family: This family represents a set of small RNAs (the Qrr RNAs) that are thought to be involved in the regulation of quorum sensing in Vibrio species. The record is from RNAcentral. Lineage: Bacteria; Pseudomonadati; Pseudomonadota; Gammaproteobacteria; Vibrionales; Vibrionaceae.